RNAcentral lists this ribosomal RNA (1372 nucleotides) under uncultured bacterium. RNAcentral describes it as "bacterial SSU rRNA". It matches the Rfam family "Bacterial small subunit ribosomal RNA", at positions 28 to 1381 of the family's 1533-position model. The record is from RNAcentral.
GAUGAACGCUGGCGGCGUGCCUAAUACAUGCAAGUCGAGCGAACGGACGAGAAGCUUGCUUCUCUGAUGUUAGCGGCGGACGGGUGAGUAACACGUGGAUAACCUACCUAUAAGACUGGGAUAACUUCGGGAAACCGGAGCUAAUACCGGAUAAUAUUUUGAACCGCAUGGUUCAAAAGUGAAAGACGGUCUUGCUGUCACUUAUAGAUGGAUCCGCGCUGCAUUAGCUAGUUGGUAAGGUAACGGCUUACCAAGGCAACGAUGCAUAGCCGACCUGAGAGGGUGAUCGGCCACACUGGAACUGAGACACGGUCCAGACUCCUACGGGAGGCAGCAGUAGGAAAUCUUCCGCAAUGGGCGAAAGCCUGACGGAGCAACGCCGCGUGAGUGAUGAAGGUCUUCGGAUCGUAAAACUCUGUUAUUAGGGAAGAACAUAUGUGUAAGUAACUGUGCACAUCUUGACGGUACCUAAUCAGAAAGCCACGGCUAACUACGUGCCAGCAGCCGCGGUAAUACGUAGGUGGCAAGCGUUAUCCGGAAUUAUUGGGCGUAAAGCGCGCGUAGGCGGUUUUUUAAGUCUGAUGUGAAAGCCCACGGCUCAACCGUGGAGGGUCAUUGGAAACUGGAAAACUUGAGUGCAGAAGAGGAAAGUGGAAUUCCAUGUGUAGCGGUGAAAUGCGCAGAGAUAUGGAGGAACACCAGUGGCGAAGGCGACUUUCUGGUCUGUAACUGACGCCGAUGUGCGAAAGCGUGGGGAUCAAACAGGAUUAGAUACCCUGGUAGUCCACGCCGUAAACGAUGAGUGCUAAGUGUUAGGGGGUUUCCGCCCCUUAGUGCUGCAGCUAACGCAUUAAGCACUCCGCCUGGGGAGUACGACCGCAAGGUUGAAACUCAAAGGAAUUGACGGGGACCCGCACAAGCGGUGGAGCAUGUGGUUUAAUUCGAAGCAACGCGAAGAACCUUACCAAAUCUUGACAUCCUUUGACAACUCUAGAGAUAGAGCCUUCCCCUUCGGGGGACAAAGUGACAGGUGGUGCAUGGUUGUCGUCAGCUCGUGUCGUGAGAUGUUGGGUUAAGUCCCGCAACGAGCGCAACCCUUAAGCUUAGUUGCCAACAUUAAGUUGGGCACUCUAAGUUGACUGCCGGUGACAAACCGGAGGAAGGCGGGGAUGACGUCAAAUCAUCAUGCCCCUUAUGAUUUGGGCUACACACGUGCUACAAUGGACAAUACAAAGGGCAGCGAAACCGCGAGGUCAAGCAAAUCCCAUAAAGUUGUUCUCAGUUCGGAUUGUAGUCUGCAACUCGACUACAUGAAGCUGGAAUCGCUAGUAAUCGUAGAUCAGCAUGCUACGGUGAAUACGUUCCCGGGUCU